AGCGCAUACGGUGGAUGCCUUGGCAGUCAGAGGCGAUGAAAGACGUGGUAGCCUGCGAAAAGCUUCGGGGAGUCGGCAAACAGACUUUGAUCCGGAGAUCUCUGAAUGGGGGAACCCACCUAGGAUAACCUAGGUAUCUUGUACUGAAUCCAUAGGUGCAAGAGGCGAACCAGGGGAACUGAAACAUCUAAGUACCCUGAGGAAAAGAAAUCAACCGAGAUUCCCUUAGUAGUGGCGAGCGAACGGGGAUUAGCCCUUAAGCUUCAUUGAUUUUAGCGGAACGCUCUGGAAAGUGCGGCCAUAGUGGGUGAUAGCCCCGUACGCGAAAGGAUCUUUGAAGUGAAAUCGAGUAGGACGGAGCACGAGAAACUUUGUCUGAACAUGGGGGGACCAUCCUCCAAGGCUAAAUACUACUGACUGACCGAUAGUGAACCAGUACCGUGAGGGAAAGGCGAAAAGAACCCCGGAGAGGGGAGUGAAAUAGAACCUGAAACCGUAUGCGUACAAGCAGUGGGAGCCUACUUGUUAGGUGACUGCGUACCUUUUGUAUAAUGGGUCAGCGACUUAUAUUCAGUGGCAAGCUUAACCGUAUAGGGUAGGCGUAGCGAAAGCGAGUCUUAAUAGGGCGUUUAGUCGCUGGGUAUAGACCCGAAACCGGGCGAUCUAUCCAUGAGCAGGUUGAAGGUUAGGUAACACUGACUGGAGGACCGAACCCACUCCCGUUGAAAAGGUAGGGGAUGACUUGUGGAUCGGAGUGAAAGGCUAAUCAAGCUCGGAGAUAGCUGGUUCUCCUCGAAAGCUAUUUAGGUAGCGCCUCAUGUAUCACUCUGGGGGGUAGAGCACUGUUUCGGCUAGGGGGUCAUCCCGACUUACCAAACCGAUGCAAACUCCGAAUACCCAGAAGUGCCGAGCAUGGGAGACACACGGCGGGUGCUAACGUCCGUCGUGAAAAGGGAAACAACCCAGACCGCCAGCUAAGGUCCCAAAGUUGUGGUUAAGUGGUAAACGAUGUGGGAAGGCUUAGACAGCUAGGAGGUUGGCUUAGAAGCAGCCACCCUUUAAAGAAAGCGUAAUAGCUCACUAGUCGAGUCGGCCUGCGCGGAAGAUGUAACGGGGCUCAAACCACACACCGAAGCUGCGGGUGUCACGUAAGUGACGCGGUAGAGGAGCGUUCUGUAAGCCUGUGAAGGUGAGUUGAGAAGCUUGCUGGAGGUAUCAGAAGUGCGAAUGCUGACAUGAGUAACGACAAUGGGUGUGAAAAACACCCACGCCGAAAGACCAAGGGUUCCUGCGCAACGUUAAUCGACGCAGGGUUAGUCGGUUCCUAAGGCGAGGCUGAAAAGCGUAGUCGAUGGGAAACAGGUUAAUAUUCCUGUACUUCUGGUUACUGCGAUGGAGGGACGGAGAAGGCUAGGCCAGCUUGGCGUUGGUUGUCCAAGUUUAAGGUGGUAGGCUGAAAUCUUAGGUAAAUCCGGGGUUUCAAGGCCGAGAGCUGAUGACGAGUCGUCUUUUAGAUGACGAAGUGGUUGAUGCCAUGCUUCCAAGAAAAGCUUCUAAGCUUCAGGUAACCAGGAACCGUACCCCAAACCGACACAGGUGGUCGGGUAGAGAAUACCAAGGCGCUUGAGAGAACUCGGGUGAAGGAACUAGGCAAAAUGGCACCGUAACUUCGGGAGAAGGUGCGCCGGCUAGGGUGAAGGAUUUACUCCGUAAGCUCUGGCUGGUCGAAGAUACCAGGCCGCUGCGACUGUUUAUUAAAAACACAGCACUCUGCAAACACGAAAGUGGACGUAUAGGGUGUGACGCCUGCCCGGUGCCGGAAGGUUAAUUGAUGGGGUUAGCGCAAGCGAAGCUCUUGAUCGAAGCCCCGGUAAACGGCGGCCGUAACUAUAACGGUCCUAAGGUAGCGAAAUUCCUUGUCGGGUAAGUUCCGACCUGCACGAAUGGCGUAACGAUGGCGGCGCUGUCUCCACCCGAGACUCAGUGAAAUUGAAAUCGCUGUGAAGAUGCAGUGUAUCCGCGGCUAGACGGAAAGACCCCGUGAACCUUUACUGUAGCUUUGCACUGGACUUUGAGCCUGCUUGUGUAGGAUAGGUGGGAGGCUUUGAAGCGUGGACGCCAGUUCGCGUGGAGCCAUCCUUGAAAUACCACCCUGGCAUGCUUGAGGUUCUAACUCUGGUCCGUAAUCCGGAUCGAGGACAGUGUAUGGUGGGCAGUUUGACUGGGGCGGUCUCCUCCUAAAGAGUAACGGAGGAGUACGAAGGUGCGCUCAGACCGGUCGGAAAUCGGUCGCAAAGUAUAAAGGCAAAAGCGCGCUUGACUGCGAGACAGACACGUCGAGCAGGUACGAAAGUAGGUCUUAGUGAUCCGGUGGUUCUGUAUGGAAGGGCCAUCGCUCAACGGAUAAAAGGUACUCCGGGGAUAACAGGCUGAUACCGCCCAAGAGUUCAUAUCGACGGCGGUGUUUGGCACCUCGAUGUCGGCUCAUCACAUCCUGGGGCUGAAGCCGGUCCCAAGGGUAUGGCUGUUCGCCAUUUAAAGUGGUACGCGAGCUGGGUUUAGAACGUCGUGAGACAGUUCGGUCCCUAUCUGCCGUGGACGUUUGAGAUUUGAGAGGGGCUGCUCCUAGUACGAGAGGACCGGAGUGGACGAACCUCUGGUGUUCCGGUUGUCACGCCAGUGGCAUUGCCGGGUAGCUAUGUUCGGAAAAGAUAACCGCUGAAAGCAUCUAAGCGGGAAACUUGCCUCAAGAUGAGAUCUCACUGGGAACUUGAUUCCCCUGAAGGGCCGUCGAAGACUACGACGUUGAUAGGCUGGGUGUGUAAGCGUUGU
This 2832-nucleotide ribosomal RNA is filed under the name Pseudomonas aeruginosa MRW44.1. RNAcentral describes it as "bacterial LSU rRNA". It matches the Rfam family "Bacterial large subunit ribosomal RNA". The record is from RNAcentral. Lineage: Bacteria; Pseudomonadati; Pseudomonadota; Gammaproteobacteria; Pseudomonadales; Pseudomonadaceae.